GUUGUUAUUCUGUUCCUGUAGAAACAAAAGUAUGUUUAUGGUUUGGUUCAUUGCUAGAGGUGUUCAAGAUCAAUCGACUAGCACUGCUUGUUGAAGAGUGACAACAGAAUUUUGGGUUUCAUUGAAUCCUAGUUCUUGUACACCACCAGUUCAUGUGUCCCAAAUGGCCAGGAAAUCAGGCAGCUCUGCUAGCCAUGUGGGCCACAGUGAUAAUCAGGUAGGAUAGCUUGACCAUACAUGCCUGAAGUUCCUCUUCAAAUGAAUUUUUACUAUUAUUAUUACUGUUUGUGCAUGACACGACAACUUUUACUUCAAAUACCUUGUUUCAAAUUGAGCUUCUACUUCAAGGUGACUAUUUCAAAUUGAACAAACAUCAUCUACAGACCCACAUCAGCAUGCUUCUGUUGCUUGGUGCCGAUCCAUUCUUAUUAGUUUGGCCUUGAUCACACCAUUACCUGCUGAAAACGCAAGCGUUCAGGCUCCUUCAACCGUAGUUGCUGGUUCAGAACCUGGCCUGCUGGUCAUUACUCAAACAUUUUAGCAGUUGUAAAGCAUUGCGAAGAAAAUGCGAAGUUUGCCAGAGCUGAAGAGCCUAGAGUUAUCAGGGAUGUGCACAAGAUUAACAGCAGGCAGUUCCUGUGUCAAACAGCAGGUAGCAGCAUUCUUUAGGCCUUCUCCAGCCCUUCAGGCAGCUGAUUCAAGCCCAACAG
Molecule: long non-coding RNA, 710 nt
Organism: Magnolia sinica
Lineage: Eukaryota; Viridiplantae; Streptophyta; Magnoliopsida; Magnoliales; Magnoliaceae
Exons: 3
Source: RefSeq, a predicted model, not a curated record